ACUGGCCGCUCGAAGCUUGAAGCUGCAGUUCACUUUCGCGAAUGUAAGGAACCCAGCUUCUGUGUGGUGGGCACUGAGAGCAGAACCGCAUUGAGUCGGAGUGGAGCACAGAAGUGUAGGUCCUUUUGCGCUGUUUCAAGCUAAACCCGUGUCACUGAUGCCGUACAGAAGUUACAGAAUGGGACGCCACCCCAAACAUUACGUCAUCCGCUGACCAUUUCCUUGCGGUCUUCCCACCGUCUAAAUCGCCAUAUAAUCUGAUGGAUGGGGUCCUCGCGCGGUUCAGCUCCUGGGCGACAGCGUAACCCGUCGCUCCUCCCUCUGCGGGAGGGCGUGGACGGGGCACGGGAUUUGGAGCAUGGAAGGAAUCGGGACCUAAAGGUUCUACUGACCCAAGGAAAGGACUGUUUGAAGAUGAAGAAGUUGUAUGUCAGUACACGGGUGGGGAGGAUCCUGUAGACAGGAAAAACCGAAGUUGUAGCAGAGCGAUAGGGAAAGUUUCUGGAGUCAUGUUCUUCAGAAGGUGAGCGAGAGGGUCAAGUUCACAAACAGAGGAAUUGCCUUACACAGGGGCAGGGACAGUUCCCGAAUAAUAAUUGGGAGAGAAGGCAGAGUGAGCGGGCAUGGGUCGAGGGAGCUGGGGAG
RNAcentral lists this long non-coding RNA (645 nucleotides) under Homo sapiens (human). RNAcentral's name for it is "HSALNT0295712". Lineage: Eukaryota; Metazoa; Chordata; Mammalia; Primates; Hominidae. The record is from RNAcentral.